This 200-nucleotide ribosomal RNA is filed under the name uncultured bacterium. Its description in RNAcentral is "partial 16S ribosomal RNA". It matches the Rfam family "Bacterial small subunit ribosomal RNA", at positions 524 to 722 of the family's 1533-position model. The record is from RNAcentral.
UACGUAGGGGGCGAGCGUUGUCCGGAUUCAUUGGGCGUAAAGCGCUUUAAGGCGGUUCGCUAAGUCGCGUGUGAAACCUCCAGGCUCAACCUGGAGACGCCACGCGAUACUGGCGUGACUAGAGUUCGGUAGGGGAUCACGGAAUUCCUGGUGUAGCGGUGAAAUGCGCAGAUAUCAGGAGGAACACCGAUGGCGAAGGC